UACGUAGGUGGCAAGCGUUGUCCGGAUUUACUGGGCGUAAAGAGCGCGCAGGCGGUCGUUCAAGUCGCGUGUGAAAGCCCCCGGCUCAACUGGGGAGGGUCACGCGAUACUGAUCGACUCGAAGGCAGGAGAGGGUAGUGGAAUUCCCGGUGUAGUGGUGAAAUGCGUAGAUAUCGGGAGGAACACCAGUGGCGAAGGCGACUACCUGGCCUGUAACUGACGCUGAGGCGCGAAAGCGUGGGGAGCAAACAGG
This 253-nucleotide ribosomal RNA is filed under the name uncultured bacterium. RNAcentral's name for it is "partial 16S ribosomal RNA". It matches the Rfam family "Bacterial small subunit ribosomal RNA", at positions 524 to 776 of the family's 1533-position model. The record is from RNAcentral.